CGAAGGGCUAGCGUUGCUCGGAAUUACUGGGCGUAAAGGGCGCGUAGGCGGUCAUUUAGUCAGGCGUGAAAUUCCCGGGCUUAACCUGGGGACUGCGCUUGCUACUGGGUGACUAGAGGGUGGAAGAGGGUCGUGGAAUUCCCAGUGUAGAGGUGAAAUUCGUAGAUAUUGGGAAGAACACCGGUGGCGAAGGCGGCGACCUGGUCCAUUACUGACGCUGAGGCGCGACAGCGUGGGGAGCAAACAGGAUU
This 251-nucleotide ribosomal RNA is filed under the name uncultured bacterium. RNAcentral's name for it is "partial 16S ribosomal RNA". It matches the Rfam family "Bacterial small subunit ribosomal RNA", at positions 528 to 779 of the family's 1533-position model. The record is from RNAcentral.